RNAcentral lists this ribosomal RNA (741 nucleotides) under uncultured bacterium. Its description in RNAcentral is "bacterial SSU rRNA". It matches the Rfam family "Bacterial small subunit ribosomal RNA", at positions 117 to 842 of the family's 1533-position model. The record is from RNAcentral.
GUGGGUAACCUGCCCUUGAAGUAGGGGAUAACACUUGGAAACAGGUGCUAAUACCGUAUAACAACCAAAACCACCUGGUUUUGGUUUAAAAGACGGCUUCGGCUGUCACUUUAGGAUGGACCCGCGGCGUAUUAGCUUGUUGGUAAGGUAACGGCCUACCAAGGCGAUGAUACGUAGCCGACCUGAGAGGGUAAUCGGCCACAUUGGGACUGAGACACGGCCCAAACUCCUACGGGAGGCAGCAGUAGGGAAUCUUCCACAAUGGACGAAAGUCUGAUGGAGCAACGCCACGUGAGUGAUGAAGGGUUUCGGCUCGUAAAACUCUGUUGUUGGAGAAGAACAGGUGUCAGAGUAACUGUUGACAUCUUGACGGUAUCCAACCAGAAAGCCACGGCUAACUACGUGCCAGCAGCCGCGGUAAUACGUAGGUGGCAAGCGUUGUCCGGAUUUAUUGGGCGUAAAGCGAGCGCAGGCGGUUUUUUAGGUCUGAUGUGAAAGCCUUCGGCUUAACCGGAGAAGUGCAUCGGAAACCGGGAGACUUGAGUGCAGAAGAGGACAGUGGAACUCCAUGUGUAGCGGUGAAAUGCGUAGAUAUAUGGAAGAACACCAGUGGCGAAGGCGGCUGUCUGGUCUGUAACUGACGCUGAGGCUCGAAAGCAUGGGUAGCGAACAGGAUUAGAUACCCUGGUAGUCCAUGCCGUAAACGAUGAGUGCUAAGUGUUGGAGGGUUUCCGCCCUUCA